GCAGUGUUGGUUCAGCGGUAGAAUUCUCGCCUUCCAUGCAGGAGACCUGGGUUCAAUUUCCAGCCAAUACA
Molecule: transfer RNA, 71 nt
Filed under: Loxodonta africana (African savanna elephant)
Lineage: Eukaryota; Metazoa; Chordata; Mammalia; Proboscidea; Elephantidae
Rfam family: tRNA
About the family: Transfer RNA (tRNA) molecules are approximately 80 nucleotides in length. Their secondary structure includes four short double-helical elements and three loops (D, anti-codon, and T loops). Further hydrogen bonds mediate the characteristic L-shaped molecular structure. tRNAs have two regions of fundamental functional importance: the anti-codon, which is responsible for specific mRNA codon recognition, and the 3' end, to which the tRNAs corresponding amino acid is attached (by aminoacyl-tRNA synthetases). tRNAs cope with the degeneracy of the genetic code in two manners: having more than one tRNA (with a specific anti-codon) for a particular amino acid; and 'wobble' base-pairing, i.e. permitting non-standard base-pairing at the 3rd anti-codon position.
Source: Rfam by way of RNAcentral